RNAcentral lists this ribosomal RNA (301 nucleotides) under uncultured bacterium. Its description in RNAcentral is "partial 16S ribosomal RNA". It matches the Rfam family "Bacterial small subunit ribosomal RNA", at positions 509 to 807 of the family's 1533-position model. The record is from RNAcentral.
CAGUAGCCACGGUAAUACGUAGGGUGCAAGCGUUAAUCGGAGUUACUGGGCGUAAAGCGUGCGCAGGCGGUUUGUUAAGACAGAUGUGAAAUCCCCGGGCUCAACCUGGGAACUGCAUUUGUGACUGGCAAGCUAGAGUAUGGCAGAGGGGGGUGGAAUUCCGCGUGUAGCAGUGAAAUGCGUAGAUAUGCGGAGGAACACCGAUGGCGAAGGCAGCCUCCUGGGCCAAUACUGACGCUCAUGCACGAAAGCGUGGGGAGCAAACAGGAUUAGAUACCCCGGUAGUCCCUGUCUCUUAUAC